UCCCCGUUACCGAGGCAGUCUGGCUAGAAAAAUACAACUAACCAUAAGGGUUGCGCUCGUUGAAGGACUUAACCUAACAUCUCACGACACGAGCUGACGACGGCCAUGCAACACCUGUCACUAGGUUCCAAAAGGCACUCACUACUUUCGUAGUAAUUCCUAGGAUGUCAAACCCUGGUAAGGUUUUUGGCUUAUCAUCCAAUUAAUCAACAUGCUCCACCGCUUGUGCGGGUCCCCGUCAAUUCCUUUGAGUUUUAAUCUUGCGACCGUACUCCUCAGGCGGGAUGCUUAACGCGUUAGCUGUGCUACUGACCGGGUCGAUACGGCCAACAGCUAGCAUCCAUAGUUUACGGCGUGGACUAC
Molecule: unclassified non-coding RNA, 363 nt
Filed under: uncultured bacterium
Lineage: Bacteria
Description: contains 16S-23S intergenic spacer region
Source: RNAcentral